This 231-nucleotide unclassified non-coding RNA is filed under the name Corynespora citricola. RNAcentral describes it as "partial contains 5.8S ribosomal RNA, internal transcribed spacer 2, and large subunit ribosomal RNA". Lineage: Eukaryota; Fungi; Ascomycota; Dothideomycetes; Pleosporales; Corynesporascaceae. The record is from RNAcentral.
CGCACAUUGCGCCCUUUGGUAUUCCGAAGGGCAUACCUGUCCGAGCGUCAUUUCAAACCUCAAGCCUAGCUUGGUGUUGGAUACGGUCUCCGGACUGAUCCCUAACCGAAUGGCGGUACCAAGUAACCUAAAGCGUAGCAGAAUCAUCGUUUUGGGGCCUAUUUGGCACCUGCUGGAAAAGUCACCCUAAAGUUUGACCUCGGAUCAGGUAGGGAUACCCGCUGAACUUAA